CACGUAGGCGGGUCGCUAAGUCGGGGGUGAAAUCCUGGAGCUCAACUCCAGAACUGCCUUCGAUACUGGCGACCUUGAGUCCGGGAGAGGUGAGUGGAACUCCGAGUGUAGAGGUGAAAUUCGUAGAUAUUCGGAAGAACACCAGUGGCGAAGGCGGCUCACUGGCCCGGUACCGACGCUGAGGUGCGAAAGCGUGGGGAGCAAACAG
Molecule: ribosomal RNA, 208 nt
Filed under: uncultured bacterium
Lineage: Bacteria
Description: partial 16S ribosomal RNA
Rfam family: Bacterial small subunit ribosomal RNA
Source: RNAcentral